Molecule: RNA transcript, 2847 nt
Organism: Mercurialis annua (annual mercury)
Lineage: Eukaryota; Viridiplantae; Streptophyta; Magnoliopsida; Malpighiales; Euphorbiaceae
Exons: 3
Source: RefSeq, a predicted model, not a curated record
GUUCAAAAUACACCUUCGAUAAACUUUUUUCAAAGAAAAAAAACACCCAAAUAAGAUAAAAAAAAACAAGUGUAAAAAAAAGAGAGCUUUAAAAAUAAAAAAUUAAACGUUUAUCUGCUCGGUCUUUCCCCGGCGGCUGAGAAGAACAAGAACAGCAACAAGACCGAUAAGAAGAGAAGACUUCAACAGAUCCAAUGGCUGAGGAGCAAAUAGAUUUUGAAGAUGAGGAGUAUGGAGGAUCUCAGAAGCUGCAAUAUCAGGGAAGUGGGGCCAUACCUGCACUUGCAGAGGAAGAGAUGGGCGAAGACGACGAGUAUGAUGAUCUUUAUAAUGAUGUUAAUGUUGGGGAGAAUUUUCUUCAGAUGCAGCGGACCGAGGUUCCGCCGGCUCGCGCUAGUGCGAGUAAUGGAGGAUUUCAGGCUCAGAAUGUUAAUGAGUCGAGAGGCGAACCUGGUGGCUCGCAAGGAUUGAACAUUCCUGGUGUUGCAGUUGAACCGAGUUAUCCGACCGGGACGCAUUUUCCGGACCAGAAGGUGGUUCCUGUUGGUGUUAAGGGGCAGGAACUGGGAUCUGUUGGAUACCCGGAUGGGUCUUCUGUUGCGCAAAAAGCGAGAGUUAUGGACGUGGUUAAUGAUUCUCAAACUAGAAACAUGGGGUUGCAAGGAUCGACGUCAGCACCAGAUGGUUCUGAUAUGAAUAGAAGAAUUGCUAAUGAGCCCACGCCUGUGCCUAAUACCGGUGGUCCUCGAGCCAUGCAACAAUUGCCGGCUAAUCAGUUGAAUAUGAAUAUGGAUGCCAAUCGAUUGGUAGCAAAUGAAAAUCAGAUUAGGCCUGCUGUAGAGAAUGGUUCAACUACGGUGUUUGUUGGAGAACUACAUUGGUGGACAACUGAUGCAGAGCUUGAGAAUGUUUUAUCUCAAUAUGGAAGGGUUAAAGAGAUAAAGUUCUUUGAUGAAAAAGCUAGUGGUAAAUCUAAAGGCUAUUGCCAAGUUGAAUUUUAUGAUGCAGCUGCUGGUGCUGCAUGUAAAGAGGGAAUGAAUGGGCAUCUUUUUAAUGGUCGGCCUUGCCUUGUUGCCUUUGCUUCUCCACAGACAUUAAAGCAGAUGAGUAAUUCUUACAUGAACAAAAAUCAGGGUCAGCAGCAGUCACAUAAUCAGGGAAGAAGGCCUAUGAACGAUGGUGCAGGAAGAGGUGGUAAUGUAAAUUAUCAAGGUGGAGAUGGAGGACGGAACUUUGGACGAGGUGGGUGGGGACGAGGUGGCCAGGGUAUCCUUAAUAGAGGUCCUGGGGGUGGAGGACGGACUGGUGGAAGAGGAGCUAUGGGUGCUAUGAACAUUGUUGGUGGUGCUGGUGGAGUGGGAGGUGGUGCUAAUGGUGGUGGCUAUGGACAAGGUCUUGCAGGUCCUCAUUUUGGUGGGCCUGCUGGUGCUAUGAUGCCUCCACAGGGUAUGAUGGCAGCUGGAUUUGAUCCAUCAUUUAUGGGUAGAGGAGCUGGUUAUGGAGGAUUUGCAGGCCCUGGUUUUCCUGGCAUGAUUCCGUCAUUUCCAGGUGUUAAUACCAUGGGUCUUCACGGUGUUGCUCCUCAUGUAAACCCAGCUUUCUUUGGCCGUGGGAUGGCGCCUAAUGGCAUGGGAAUGAUGGGUCCUUCUGGAAUGGAGGGGCCUAAUGCUGGAAUGUGGUCUGACACAAGCAUGGGUGGAUGGGCAGAAGAGCCUGGGCGAAGAACAAGGGAGUCAAGUUACGGUGGUGAUGAUGGGGCUUCUGAGCAUGGCUAUGGAGAGGUAAAUCAUGAAAAAGGACCUAGAUUAAGUGCUGCCUCAAGGGAUAAGGAGCGGGUUUCUGAGCGUGACUGGGCAGGGAGCUCUGAUAAUAGGAGGCAGCGUGAUGACAGGGAACAGGACUGGGACAGGCCGGAGAGGGAACACAGGGAGCACAGGUACCGGGAAGAUAAAGAGCGAAGUAGAGACCAUCGACAAAGAGAGCGUGACUCUGGCUAUGAGGAUGACCGCGAUAGAGGGCAAUCUUCUUCAAGAUCUCGUAGCAGGUCCCGAGCAGUGAUUGAAGAAGAUUACAGGCCUCGAUCAAGGGAUGCAGACUAUGGAAAAAGAAGACGCCUACCAUCAGAGUGACGCAAUUGAUCUAUUCAUUGAUAUGGCUGUGAGACUUCAGUGUUUUAUAUUACAACUCUUCGCCUUUUUCUCUUGGACUGUUGCAACGCAUGUGAUAUUAUCUGAACUGGCUUCCAUUGACCUGAAGUGCAGAGGGUGAUAUCUUGAGGGAAGAAGGUGUGGCAUGGGGAACUCUUUGUUUUCAUGAUUAAUAUUGUUAGUUGCAUGGAGCAAGAUAUGUUAGAUGAGCUGCCGUCACCGAAUUACAUCCAUAAUGGUUUUGAUCUGCCAAGUUUGGAAAAGAAGCUUUGGCUAUUUUGGCUUUCACAUUUUAUUUUUCUUCACAAUUACAAGCUAGGAAUCUGUAAAUAAUGCUCCUACAAGAAUAUUUUUAGAGAAGUCUUGUAUUUGUGGAGCUGUAAAUUGAAUAAGAGAUGGUAAUAUUUUUGGUGUAUAACCUUUUUUUGUAUGUAAUAUAGGCAUAUGUAUUAGGUUUACUUCAUGUAAUGGCCUCAUUCAUUUUUUUUCCGACUGUUUUCCGGUUCUUCAGUGAACUUGUAAAAUCGAUGUACCCGUUGUGAGGCUCAUAUUUGUACGUAUAUGAUGUCUUGUAAAUCUUGUUAUGUAUAUGCAUUAGGUAGAAGGGUCAGCAAUGACUUAAUAACACUCUGUAAUGAAGGGUAGAUGUUCCCUCUGUAUUUAAUCAAUGUAAUACUUACAAACUCGUCCUUCAGCUGAA